AGAGGAGCCAGCUCUCUGGUUUCUACUGAAAUGUUUCUAGCAUUAAACAAACAUUGGAGGAAACACAAACAUCUGUCUGGAAGCGAAGCCUGGAGCUCGUGAAUUCCAGGGCUGGCUGUGGCCCCUGCCUCUGAUUUCCUGUGUGGGCCAGGACAAUUGGCUUCUUCUCUCUGUGUCUUAGGUGAGCUGGCUCUCCUUCCUGGCUCCUACCCUUAACCCUGGCCACAUGGUGGGAUUAGGAGGGCAGAUGCAAUUGGAAAGUAGGAGGAAGUGUCUCAUUCCACGGUGGCACCAGGCAGAAGUGGGCAGGAGAGAUGUUUACCCUGCCAGGCCUCAUAAAGUCAUCUUUCUCAGCAAACCACCAUUUAUUAACCCCUUCUCUUCUCCAGUCACUCAGCUACACUAAUGCACGAGAAUGCUCAGACGACAUGGUAUCUCUUAGGAUGAUCUAUAUCUUAAGGGCAAAUGCAGCCAUUGCUGAAGAAUUGGGUAGGUGAAAUCAUUCAUUGAACCUGUGCAUUUGGUUUCACCAUGUUUUCACGUGUUUCUAGAUAGCU
Molecule: long non-coding RNA, 557 nt
Filed under: Homo sapiens (human)
Lineage: Eukaryota; Metazoa; Chordata; Mammalia; Primates; Hominidae
Description: non-protein coding lnc-PARP11-3:5
Source: RNAcentral